AACAACUUCUCGGGAAGAGUUUAAGUAUUAUUUUUGAAAAUUGAUAGAGGAUCGUAGAGCAAGGAUCAACGCGUUGGAUUUGUGGAAGAAUAAAGAAAGACAAUAUCCAGUGCUUUCAAGAUUAGCUAAAGAUUUAUUGAAUGUUCCAAUGUCAAUGCAACGGAGAGCGCUUUUAGUCAGGAACAACAACAACUUGGAGAUAAUCGACACUCAU
Molecule: long non-coding RNA, 214 nt
Filed under: Capsicum annuum
Lineage: Eukaryota; Viridiplantae; Streptophyta; Magnoliopsida; Solanales; Solanaceae
Description: long non-coding RNA (CANN_LNC009872)
Source: RNAcentral